Long non-coding RNA from Entelurus aequoreus (snake pipefish), 609 nucleotides. RefSeq lists it as uncharacterized. The transcript is spliced from 4 exons. NCBI's taxonomy places the organism in Eukaryota, Metazoa, Chordata, Actinopteri, Syngnathiformes, Syngnathidae. The record is from RefSeq and is a predicted model, not a curated record.
AAGAAACACAAUGAAGAACUGCGAACCGAGAAGAAGACUCAGAAAGCACAGACAAGCCAUGCUGCGAAGUAGCCUGCAGCCAGAAGAGCCUCCAUGAGGUAAAUGAGGAUCCACAAGAAGGUGAUGACUGAGGCAAGGAAAUUGCACAGAAAAUACAUAUUUAUACACUUCUCCAUAAAGGUGCAUGUCUUUGGAGGUGGGAGGAAGCCGGAGUACCCGGAGGGAACCCACGCAGUCACGGGGAGAACAUGCAAACUCCACACAGAAAGAUCCCGAGGCCGGGAUUGAACUCACGACUACUCAGGACCUUCGUAUUGUGAGGCAGACGCACUAACCCCUCUGCCACCGUGCUGCACUGAAAUGUUUCUCUCACACACACUACUGAAACACUCAUACAACGGCGCCUCAUACGCUCCCUGUGUGUACGCAUGUACUUGUGCACGUGAGUACAUGUGUUCACAUGUACAUGAUGUUUUGAUGUACAGUAUAUUAUUAGAUCAUGUAAUAAAGACACCCAUAAACAACUUUACAUAUGUUUGUGUUUGAGAGAAGGUGCCUUGACGAGAAGUCAGUGUGUUGAUAAGAACUGUGACAGUUGUCAAUAAAGAA